Molecule: ribosomal RNA, 301 nt
Filed under: uncultured bacterium
Lineage: Bacteria
Description: partial 16S ribosomal RNA
Rfam family: Bacterial small subunit ribosomal RNA
Source: RNAcentral
CAGUCGCCGCGGUAAUACGUAGGUCCCGAGCGUUGUCCGGAUUUAUUGGGCGUAAAGCGAGCGCAGGCGGUUAGAUAAGUCUGAAGUUAAAGGCUGUGGCUUAACCAUAGUACGCUUUGGAAACUGUUUAACUUGAGUGCAAGAGGGGAGAGUGGAAUUCCAUGUGUAGCGGUGAAAUGCGUAGAUAUAUGGAGGAACACCGGUGGCGAAAGCGGCUCUCUGGCUUGUAACUGACGCUGAGGCUCGAAAGCGUGGGGAGCAAACAGGAUUAGAUACCCCAGUAGUCCCUGUCUCUUAUACA